GACGAACGCUGGCGGCGUGCCUAAUACAUGCAAGUCGAGCGCUGAAGGUUGGUACUUGUACCAACUGGGUGAGCGGCGGACGGGUGAGUAACGCGUGGGGAAUCUGCCUUUGAGCGGGGGACAACAUUUGGAAACGAAUGCUAAUACCGCAUAAAAACUUUAAACACAAGUUUUAAGUUUGAAAGAUGCAAUUGCAUCACUCAAAGAUGAUCUCGCGUUGUAUUAGCUAGUUGGUGAGGUAAAGGCUCACCAAGGCGAUGAUACAUAGCCGACCUGAGAGGGUGAGCGGACACACUGGGACUGAGACACGGGCCCAAGUCCUAGGGGAGGCAGCGGUGGGGAAGUUUGGGAAAUGGGCGAAAGGCUGACAGAGCAAAGCCGCGUGAGUGAGGAAGGGGUUCGGGUCGUAAAACUCUGUUAUUAGGGAGGAACAGAGGUGGAAGUGAAUAUGCCCGACAUGACGGUAACUAAUCAGAAAGCCACGGCUAACUACGUG
Molecule: ribosomal RNA, 496 nt
Filed under: uncultured bacterium
Lineage: Bacteria
Description: partial 16S ribosomal RNA
Rfam family: Bacterial small subunit ribosomal RNA
Source: RNAcentral